RNAcentral lists this long non-coding RNA (421 nucleotides) under Mytilus galloprovincialis (Mediterranean mussel). The record is from RNAcentral. Lineage: Eukaryota; Metazoa; Mollusca; Bivalvia; Mytilida; Mytilidae.
GUGGACUCUGCAAGCAAAUGAAUCAAGUGAAGUCAGCUGGUCAAAAGGGAUCAAAGCUGGUCGGUCAUGCAUUCAGAAGCACGUUCAAAGUCUAUGAUGUACGAUGAGCACGCGGAUUUCUAACCCUUUUAAAAUACCAGACGAUGUGGACGCUUUAUCUUCUUCUUCACGACAAAUAUGAAGUUUUUUCAGCACAAAACACAUUUUUGGUGGGGUUCGUGUUGUUUAUUCUUUAGCUUUCUAUGUUGUGUCGUGUGUACUAUUGUUUUUCUGUUUUUUUCAUUUUAGCCAUGGGUUGUCAGUUUGUUUUAGAUUUAUGAGUUUGACUGUCCCUUUGGUAUCUUUCGUCCCUCUUUUAACACUAUUACUUUAAGGGCAUACGAUACAGUUUUGAACCUGUAUUUACAGUUGGAUGAAAAUU